UACGUAGGUGGCAAGCGUUGUCCGGAUUUACUGGGCGUAAAGAGCGCGCAGGCGGUCGUUCAAGUCGCGUGUGAAAGCCCCCGGCUCAACUGGGGAGGGUCACGCGAUACUGAUCGACUCGAAGGCAGGAGAGGGUAGUGGAAUUCCCGGUGUAGUGGUGAAAUGCGUAGAUAUCGGGAGGAACACCAGUGGCGAAGGCGGGUCUCUGGGCCGAUACUGACGCUGAGGAGCGAAAGCGUGGGGAGCGAACAGG
RNAcentral lists this ribosomal RNA (253 nucleotides) under uncultured bacterium. Its description in RNAcentral is "partial 16S ribosomal RNA". It matches the Rfam family "Bacterial small subunit ribosomal RNA", at positions 524 to 776 of the family's 1533-position model. The record is from RNAcentral.